AAAAAAAAAAAAAAAGAAAAAAAAAAGGUGACCCUUAUUUUAUUUAUUGAGUAGAGGAACAGAGAGAAAGUGCCAGAUGGAAGGACCUCGGAGCAAUCUCCAACGGCUCAGCCCUGCCUGCUUGGGCGAACAGGCACUGAGGCCAGGAUAAAAGGGAUAGAAAGCAGGGUCAGGAGGGGUUGCAUAAUUACUGGGGUGGAGGUAAAAGGGGUGAGGGGGUGACAAGGGUCUCUCUGGCCUCACCAUGAGGAUAUGUACAGCCCCCCAGCUCCGCGUGGCUGGUAAGCAUCCCUGGGUACGCACAGUAAGUACGAGGGAUGCUGCAGGAUGCCACAUCAGGGUCCCGUUGUAGGGACUGUGGGAGUCCUGAUUUUCUGGGGGCUGAGCUGUCCCCUUUCCCUUCCUACAAACUGGGUCCCUAACGUAGAUGCAAGGAGACCCAGACCCGAAAGGCUUUGUCCCAUAUUCCCUCCUGAUGGGAUGUACUUCCAAAGCCUGAGCAUGGCAACUCCUGCAUUAACCACAGCAUGAGCAGCGCUGAAUCCCCAGUGUUUGCACUAAGAAAAAAGAAAUAAAGGGAAAAGGAUGUAAAAGAUAGUAAUGGUGGGGAGAUAGAUGAAACCUCCAAAACCAGUGUAACAGCCUCAUCCCAUAGGCCCUGCUGGGGGGAUGCAUUUCUCUUACUGCAAAUGAUGCUGGAAGGGCUCUAGCUAAAGGUUGGGGCAUCAGAUUUAGGGGGGACCAGCCCACCCCUCCUUCCACCUCAAGGAGGCUGAAGGAAGGCAACAAAGGAGAGAGAAGAAGGGAGGGAGAGGACAGCCCUAAAGGCAAGGGAUGAUAGUAGAUUUCCCCCAGGUCACUUUCCUCUCCUGGGUUUCAAAGGCACUGGUUCACAGGAUGAGAUGUGGCCAGCGUUUCUCCUGGCCCUGCCCGUCCCUCGGUAAUGGGCUUGUAAUGACCUAAACGAUUUGCUGAUUAGGGCCAAUAAAUCUACCCUUUCCAUGUCUUUCCGAUGGAGAUACCGAGGCUCAGAAGCGGUGAAUGCUGGGGAGGCUUUGCUCCAGGGACAGGCUAAAAGAGGAAGAAAAAAAAAAAAAAGAAAAGGAAAAAAAAAAAAAAAAGGAAAAGAAAAAAGAAAAAAAAAUCAGAAAAGAAAAGAAGGAAGGGGGAAAAAGGAGGAAAAAGAAAGAAAAAAAAGGGAAAAAACGAGUUAGAGAAGCCCGGUCGGCUCCUUUGCGCCGGUUCCCCCGAGCCGUGCGGUCCCGCUGCACCCCCUGCGCCCCGCCGAGGGAAAUGCAGCGGCUCUGUGGGAACCACGCCGCUCCAGGAUGGAAAAGAUGAAAUGAAAUAAAAAUAAUUCGAAAAAAUAAUUAAAAAAACAAACAAACAGGAAAAAAGAAAAAAAUAAACACCUGGCGGCGUUAGCUUAAAAGGAGCGCAUCCUGAGAGACUUUUGCUCAAGUGCAGUGUCCGGUUCGUGGGUGCGGUGUCACGAUGGUGAUGUUGCUUUGGGGGGGGAGGGGGGUGGGCAGCAGCGGUUCGUUCCUGUUCCCCCGCCCCGGUGCAGGUGCACACAGGGAAGGCGGUUUCGUGCCGGGGUGCCCCGAGUGGGGUGGUCCGGGAGAAGAGAGGUGGCCGUGCCCUCCCGGUGUGCCGCAGGGCACGGCACUGCCAGGCACUUCCAAUUAGCAAAUCAAGCUGGUGAUCAUUAGCGUGCAGCAGCCAAAGCAGCG
Long non-coding RNA from Gallus gallus (chicken), 1733 nucleotides. Lineage: Eukaryota; Metazoa; Chordata; Aves; Galliformes; Phasianidae. The record is from Ensembl.